RNAcentral lists this long non-coding RNA (529 nucleotides) under Ursus maritimus (polar bear). Its description in RNAcentral is "lncRNA (ENSUMAG00000004708.1)". The record is from RNAcentral. Lineage: Eukaryota; Metazoa; Chordata; Mammalia; Carnivora; Ursidae.
CUCACUCUUGCCUGUGCUCCGUUUGUGUCUGUGAUUGUUAAGUAUGUCUUCCCGGCACAACGUCAUCUUUCCAAGAAAGACCGACCCCACCCCAUCCGUGCCUUCCUCUUCCUUGCCUCUUCGGUCUGGGGUAUUUGCUGGAGCGUAUUUUUGCCCGGAUCUACUCACCUCUGGCAUAGGGAACUGGAUCCAUGCCCGACGUGUCUCUCCCCAGCAGCACAGUGUAUAGGGCACUCAGUGAAAGAUUGUUGGAUUGAAUUGAACCGAGAGAGGCAUCCAAGCAGCAGACAUCUUUCCAUCCUGAACUGUGUGCGAGCAGGCAGGCCCUGGGCCUAGGCAUUCCGGAAGCUUCCUUCUUGCCUGUGAUAUUGGAGAAUCCUGUUGUCCCAAAGCCCUCUGCCUCUUAGGAGCUCCUGGGAUGGCUUCAUCUUCCAUAUUUCAACCUGGAGAACACUGGAGAACGGAGCUCCAACUCACUGUCACUGUUUCCGGAAAUAAAAACUGAGGGACGACUCUGCUGAUGGCGAUG